Molecule: long non-coding RNA, 1030 nt
Filed under: Oryza sativa tropical japonica subgroup
Lineage: Eukaryota; Viridiplantae; Streptophyta; Magnoliopsida; Poales; Poaceae
Description: lncRNA OsCMeo_08g0002670
Source: RNAcentral
CACCAAAAUCAAUCGCGUGAUUUCCUCCCAACCCCCACCACGCGAUUUUCUGAUUUCCUCCGCCUUCAUCGCCGCCUCCUUCCCACUCCGCCACUCCGGGUGGUGCCUCCCUCACAUCGGCUCCUGUGGCCGCUCCCGUCUUCGCCGCCGCCGCCCGCCGGUGCCUCCCUCCACCACCACCUGGGCCCCGCCUCCUUGCCAUUCACGAACAGGAGUUUCGGCAGGUUCGUGCGGGCGCCGUCACGCCGCCACAUAUCGAGACUCGCUGUCCGUUCGCCGGCCCGCCUCCUCCACGGCCGUCCAGUCUGCCGCCCUCAACGCCGAUCGCGCCGUCCAGUCCGCCCGCACCCUCUGCCGCCAUCUUCAAAAGCCCUGCCGCCGCCACGAGAUCCAGGCGAGCAUGAUGGAAGACGUGGAUGCGGCUCCAGUGGUUGAUUGGGUGGCAACGAGGAUGAACCGCAGCUGACUGCACCCAUGCACAACCGCAACCAACUAGCUAAAGGGAUGUUGGGGCUUUGGUCCUUGAGAUCAUGCAUAUUGCAAGAGAAACCUAAUCUGAGUUUCAAAAGUGGAUGGUGCAGCUGUUCCGUUUGAUUGCAAAAUGCCCGAAUAGCUUUGACUUUCAAGUGUUUGGGGUCAAGUCUGUAGUUUGCAAGGAGUGAACCUCAUUGUCCGUUCGUUGGGGAGACCUCCUCCUCCACCGCUGUCCAGUCCGCUGCCCCCAGUUCGCACGUUCGAGGGGGAACAUUGAUUUGUUCUUUAGAAAUUCAAUAAAUAGGCAUUCGUACAUGUGGCAUCCGAUGGUUAUAUGCUAUGGUCAUUUUUCAUUAAAUGUUGACUCAACUUUGUGGUAUGUUUUCAGUUUCAUUUAGCCAUUAAACUCUGGAGGAACUACAGAAUAAACUUGUAGAUGCAGAGGCCAGAAUGGAUUUGUAAGAGGCAAUGGAUUUUAGUAUUCAGUAAUCUUUGAUUUCAGGUAAAUUAAAGAUCAUUGCACAAUCAAGAAAUAUAUUUUGUGAAUGUUUGCAAU